RNAcentral lists this ribosomal RNA (254 nucleotides) under uncultured bacterium. Its description in RNAcentral is "partial 16S ribosomal RNA". It matches the Rfam family "Bacterial small subunit ribosomal RNA", at positions 524 to 776 of the family's 1533-position model. The record is from RNAcentral.
GACGUAGGGCGCGAGCGUUGUCCGGAUUUAUUGGGCGUAAAGAGCUCGUAGGCGGCUUGUCGCGUCGACUGUGAAAACCCGUGGCUCAACCAUGUGGUCUGCAGUCGAUACGGGCAGGCUAGAAUUCGGUAGGGGAGACUGGAAUUCCUGGUGUAGCGGUGAAAUGCGCAGAUAUCAGGAGGAACACCGGUGGCGAAGGCGGGUCUCUGGGCCACUACUGACGCUGAGAAGCGAAAGCAUGGGGAGCGAACAGG